GAUGAACGCUGGCGGCGUGCCUAAUACAUGCAAGUCGAACGCGCAGCGAGAGGUGCUUGCACCUUUCAAGCGAGUGGCGAACGGGUGAGUAACACGUGGAUAACCUGCCUCAAGGCUGGGGAUAACAUUUGGAAACAGAUGCUAAUACCGAAUAAAACUUAGUAUCGCAUGAUAUCAAGUUAAAAGGCGCUACGGCGUCACCUAGAGAUGGAUCCGCGGUGCAUUAGUUAGUUGGUGGGGUAAAGGCUUACCAAGACGAUGAUGCAUAGCCGGGUUGAGAGACUGAUCGGCCACAUUGGGACUGAGACACGGCCAAAACUCCUACGGGAGGCUGCAGUAGGGAAUCUUCCACAAUGGGCGCAAGCCUGAUGGAGCAACGCCGCGUGUGUGAUGAAGGCUUUCGGGUCGUAAAGCACUGUUGUAUGGGAAGAAAUGCUAAAAUAGGGAAUGAUUUUAGUUUGACGGUACCAUACCAGAAAGGGACGGCUAAAUACGUGCCAGCAGCCGCCGUAA
Molecule: ribosomal RNA, 513 nt
Filed under: uncultured bacterium
Lineage: Bacteria
Description: partial 16S ribosomal RNA
Rfam family: Bacterial small subunit ribosomal RNA
Source: RNAcentral